RNAcentral lists this ribosomal RNA (415 nucleotides) under uncultured Streptococcus sp. Its description in RNAcentral is "bacterial SSU rRNA". It matches the Rfam family "Bacterial small subunit ribosomal RNA", at positions 966 to 1382 of the family's 1533-position model. Lineage: Bacteria; Bacillati; Bacillota; Bacilli; Lactobacillales; Streptococcaceae. The record is from RNAcentral.
GAACCUUACCAGGUCUUGACAUCCCGAUGCUAUUUCUAGAGAUAGAAAGUUACUUCGGUACAUCGGUGACAGGUGGUGCAUGGUUGUCGUCAGCUCGUGUCGUGAGAUGUUGGGUUAAGUCCCGCAACGAGCGCGACCCCUAUUGUUAGUUGCCAUCAUUCAGUUGGGCACUCUAGCGAGACUGCCGGUAAUAAACCGGAGGAAGGUGGGGAUGACGUCAAAUCAUCAUGCCCCUUAUGACCUGGGCUACACACGUGCUACAAUGGUUGGUACAACGAGUUGCGAGUCGGUGACGGCGAGCUAAUCUCUUAAAGCCAAUCUCAGUUCGGAUUGUAGGCUGCAACUCGCCUACAUGAAGUCGGAAUCGCUAGUAAUCGCGGAUCAGCACGCCGCGGUCGAAUACGUUCCGGGCCUU